CCCCAGGUGGGAUCAGCCCCUCCAAGGUCCUGUGGGCUGAGCUCCAACACAGGCCCCUCCAGCAUCUGCAGCCCAGGUGGGUGAGGACAACUGAGGUCGAGGCUCUUUGCUCAGAGGCUAUUCCUAGAGAUGCAAUAGCUAUGGCUGGCUUCCAGGUCGCUCGAGAGCCUUCCUGGGAACCUCUGACACUGCCGUGUGUAUGAAAGUUCUAAAUACUCUGUGUUCCCCUCUUCACUGUCUCUGUAGCUUAUCAAGGGCAACUUGCUGAGAUUGAGCUCUUAGAAAUUCCACAGCACUGGAUGGGCUCUGAGUUUGCUAUUUAUGACCUUCAUUUCCCACCUGCCCUCCACCUGGGCCUUCUCCUGCCUCUCUUGUCCCCAUGCUUAGUGGCAGGCUCCUAUGAAGGGAAGGCCAAGCCCUAGAAAUGCCGUGGUGUUAGAAAACUCUGGGGCUACACUGGGAUCAUGGCCCAGCUCAGCCCUCUGUCAGCUGGGUGACCUCAAGCAGGUGCCUGGACUGCUCUGAGCCUCAGUUGUUCCCUUUGUAAAAUGUGAAUGAUAAUAAGAAGCAGACCUCACGGGGCUGAAGUUUAAGGUUAUCUGUAGAGAACACCCGGACUGGAGCACAAAGUGGGCCCUCAGUGCUAGAGCGUGUGACCAUCACAGGUUAGGCCACGUGUAGGUGGAGCCAUAUGAAAUGGUCCUUUGGUAGGUUUACACUGGUCACCGGUCAGCAGUUUAAGGGGUUUCAACCGAGUUUCUAUUGAGCAGUCACUGUGGGCAGACACUGGGCUCUGCCAGUGUCCCCUGGGUAAUGGCACAUGGGUGUGGAUGCUGGGAGGGGCAAUUCCACAGCAGGCAGAGAAGGGGGGCAGGGAGUCACACCCAGGCCUUGCCUGGCCUUUGGCCUCCCGGACACCAGAUGGGACUGCCACUCACCCCUCGCCCAGCUCUCUGUCCUCUGUACCUCCGUCCUCAGGGCCUGAUGACUCAGAGAGCCUGCAGGUGCACAGCCAGAGCUGCUGGAGUCCACCCCCUUCCUCUGCUGCCGCCAGCCUGGAGGAGCUUGCGGGGGUCCAGGUCCACCUCCCGGGCCCUCCGGCCUCCUCGGCCCCCUCCUGCCCCGGCCUCUGCUGGCCUCCUGAUUUCCUAUCCUGUGCCCCCCGCCUCCUUCCUGCCUCUCCCGGGGCGGGCUCAGGCCUGGCACCACUCCAGAACGGCUUAAUCAGAACAAAUCCUGAGAAAACACAUGUAUUAUUUAUUCCCGCAAAGGUUAAAUAAUUUGAUGAAUUUCUCAGGACGCUGCCGGAAUGCUGAUGGCCUCUUGGAAAAAGAGAAAAGAGAAAACACAAACACAAACACACAGAAUGCAACAAAUCCACACACACACACACACACACAUGCACACCACCGCAGCUAUGACCACUUGCCCCAUGUUGGCUCAUGCAGGAGGCCAAGGGGGCAGCCCUCGGUGACUCUGGCACCCAGGCCCAGGAGGGGACAUAGAUUUCCUGCUCACUGACUGCAGAUGACAGCUCCCCCUACCUCCGCCUCUCGAGCGUGAUGCAUUAUCUGGAGGUGUCUGCGCCUUUGAUGCUGCAAAUGGCCACAGAAAGCCCGCUGAUUUACAGGCCAGAUGAUGCCUUGGCUUCAGUGGAGCUGUUUAUGAAGCCCCCCCAAGUGGGGCCACUGGGAUCAAGGAAGGGGCAUGGGGAGAAGGCUCCUGCUUGGGGCCUGGGGUGACGGGACCUCUUGGAGAUGGCCGCUAUGCAGAUGGGCUCUUCAGUGCAG
Molecule: long non-coding RNA, 1790 nt
Filed under: Marmota monax (woodchuck)
Lineage: Eukaryota; Metazoa; Chordata; Mammalia; Rodentia; Sciuridae
Source: RNAcentral